Vicia faba (fava bean) is the source of this 228-nucleotide non-coding RNA. NCBI's taxonomy places the organism in Eukaryota, Viridiplantae, Streptophyta, Magnoliopsida, Fabales, Fabaceae. The record is from the annotation of a GenBank genome assembly.
AUGGAAAGAAUUUCGUGUUACUGCGGAGCUGAAGGGUUUGAGAAGGAAAGGAUGAUAACAGAGUUGAGGAACCAGAGUGGAGCUACGGCUUUGCCUGCAGACGCGCGAGGGAGUGAGGUUAUACUUGCAAAGAACCUCCUAAUUUCCCCAAGUUGCGAGAAGAACUACGAGUUUGUGCAGACGGUUGACAUCGCUGUUGUCAAAGACGACAGCAAGGAAAAGCGUUAA